AGUUAAUGAACUUGAUAUAAGUAUAUGUUUUGAAAGCAUAAUAAAGAGGAUAAAUUCUUCUAUUAACUU
RNAcentral lists this transfer RNA (69 nucleotides) under Diplocheila zealandica. RNAcentral's name for it is "tRNA-Ser". It matches the Rfam family "tRNA". From Rfam's summary of the family: Transfer RNA (tRNA) molecules are approximately 80 nucleotides in length. RNAcentral also lists the same sequence under 1 other name. Lineage: Eukaryota; Metazoa; Arthropoda; Insecta; Coleoptera; Carabidae. The record is from RNAcentral.